UGCGGAGGGAUCAUUACACAAAUAUGAAGGCGGGCUGGAACCUCUCGGGGUUACAGCCUUGCUGAAUUAUUCACCCUUGUCUUUUGCGUACUUCUUGUUUCCUUGGUGGGUUCGCCCACCACUAGGACAAACAUAAACCUUUUGUAAUUGCAAUCAGCGUCAGUAACAAAUUAAUAAUUACAACUUUCAACAACGGAUCUCUUGGUUCUGGCAUCGAUGAAGAACGCAGCGAAAUGCGAUAAGUAGUGUGAAUUGCAGAAUUCAGUGAAUCAUCGAAUCUUUGAACGCACAUUGCGCCCUUUGGUAUUCCAAAGGGCAUGCCUGUUCGAGCGUCAUUUGUACCCUCAAGCUUUGCUUGGUGUUGGGCGUCUUGUCUCUAGCUUUGCUGGAGACUCGCCUUAAAGUAAUUGGCAGCCGGCCUACUGGUUUCGGAGCGCAGCACAAGUCGCACUCUCUAUCAGCAAAGGUCUAGCAUCCAUUAAGCCUUUUUUUCAACUUUUGACCUCGGAUCAGGUAGGGAUACCCGCUGAACUUAAGCAUAUCAAU
Molecule: ribosomal RNA, 546 nt
Filed under: Alternaria sp. PHY-12
Lineage: Eukaryota; Fungi; Ascomycota; Dothideomycetes; Pleosporales; Pleosporaceae
Description: eukaryotic LSU rRNA
Rfam family: 5.8S ribosomal RNA (bases 182-335)
Source: RNAcentral